Molecule: RNA transcript, 2770 nt
Organism: Diospyros lotus (date-plum)
Lineage: Eukaryota; Viridiplantae; Streptophyta; Magnoliopsida; Ericales; Ebenaceae
Gene name: CBL-interacting protein kinase 23-like
Exons: 16
Source: RefSeq, a predicted model, not a curated record
GUACCCGCAACUCCAAGCACAAGAGCCGCGGCUCACCCAAACCCAGGAAAAACUUCUCUCUUUUCAGUUCAAUUCGUCUCCAUUCACAGCCCAAUCUCUAAGGAACGCAUCGAUUAUUCUUCCUUUCCUGCUAGAAAUCGGCGGCCGUUUCAGGGUUCUCUCAGAACCCCCCCCCCCCCCAAUUCGAUGGAGGUUUUAUCGGCGCCGUCAUCAGCUGUGGUCCGCGGCUUCGCCUCUGCGUAUCGGGUUCUCCGAAGCCUCUCGUCUCGUUGAAAUCGGUCUUUCUUUAUUUUUUCUUUCUUCUCGCUUCGAGAGGUUUUCUAUAUCUGGGCUGUUUACCUCCUGUUGCGUAUUUCCUUUUCUUCUGUUUCUUUCUUGAGAAAGGAAAGAUGAGUGCGGCUAAGUCUCGGGUUUGGCAGCCUUGCAAGAAGAAGAGAUCUUGAUUUAUAGGGAGAGAUAGAGAGUCAGAGAAGAAGAAGAAGAAGAAGAAGAAGAGAGAAGGAAGCAAUGGAUGGUAUUUGCUCCUAUUGAGGACUCUUCUGUUUCAGAGAGAGAGAGAGAGAGAGAGAGAGAGAUGGCUUCUAGGUCAACGGGCGGCGGCGGACGGGGCGGUGGCAGCACAAGGGUUGGGAAGUAUGAGCUGGGAAGGACACUGGGGGAGGGAACGUUUGCAAAGGUGAAGUUUGCUAGGAACACAGAGAGCGGAGAGAAUGUGGCUAUAAAGAUUCUGGACAAAGAGAAGGUUCUCAAGCACAAGAUGAUCGGUCAGAUUAAACGUGAAAUUUCAACCAUGAAACUAAUCAGGCACCCAAAUGUCAUCCGUAUGUAUGAGGUUAUGGCUAGCAAGACAAAAAUAUACAUUGUUCUGGAAUUUGUUACUGGGGGUGAACUCUUUGACAAAAUAGCUAGUGAGGGGAGACUCAAAGAAGAUGAAGCAAGGAAGUAUUUCCAGCAACUUAUAAAUGCAGUGGAUUACUGCCACAGCAGAGGCGUUUUCCAUAGGGACUUGAAGCCUGAGAAUCUGCUACUGGAUGCAAGUGGAGUUCUUAAAGUUUCAGAUUUUGGAUUAAGUGCUCUACCUCAACAAGUUCGUGAAGAUGGGUUACUACAUACAACCUGUGGUACACCAAACUAUGUUGCUCCUGAGGUGAUCAACAACAAAGGCUAUGAUGGGGCUAAGGCAGAUUUGUGGUCAUGCGGUGUAAUCCUUUUUGUCCUUUUGGCAGGCUACCUGCCUUUUGAAGACUCCAAUCUUGUGACAUUGUACAAAAAGAUAUUCAAGGCUGACUUCUCAUGUCCUCCAUGGUUUUCCUCGAGUGCAAAGAAACUAAUCAAAAGAAUCCUGGAUCCUAAUCCAUCUGCACGCAUCACAAUUGCUGAGCUAACUGAGAAUGACUGGUUUAAGAAGGGGUAUCAACCUCCUACUUUUGAAGACGCAGAUGUUAGUCUUCAUGAUGUGGAUGCUAUUUUUAAUGAAUCAGAGGACUCACAAAAUCUUGUUGUGGAGAGGAGGGAAGACCGACCUGCAAUGCCUGUGGCUAUGAAUGCUUUUGAGCUCAUCUCAAAAUCACAGGGUCUCAACCUCAGUUCUCUUUUUGAAAAACAAAUGGGGCUUGUUAAACGAGAAACAAGGUUUACAUCCAAAUGUCCUGCUAAUGAGAUAAUCUCAAAAAUUGAGGAAGCUGCUUCUCCUAUGGGUUUUGACAUAAGGAAAAACAAUUACAAGCUGAAGCUUCAAGGGGAGAAAACUGGGCGCAAGGGUCAUUUAGCUGUUGUGACAGAGAUCUUUGAGGUGGCGCCUUCACUUCACAUGGUUGAGCUACGCAAGACUGGAGGUGAUACCUUAGAAUUCCAUAAGUUUUACAAGAACCUGAAAACUGGUUUGAAAGAUGUUGUCUGGAAAACAGGAGAUGAAGCACAAUCAGAAGCAAGUGCCGGUGCAGGCAAUCCGUAGCCAUCUUGCUAGAUCUAUGGUUGUGGGAGUUUAGUGACCUUCAACGAAUUGAUACUUCGAACUUGUGCUGUGAGAAAAUAAUGAGCCUAAAGAUUGAACACGCUCGAUUUUCAUCCUCACUGUUAGCAUCAUGGGAUUCGGGACCAUGAGAAGGGAGCUUGCAAGGCUAGAUUUUGUGGUGGUUGACGCCAAGAGGGCAAUCUGCUAUGUUCUCUUCGCCCUACGUAAAGCAGAUAAAGUUGACCCUCUGUUUAUUUACUUUUAAGUUUUUUGAUAAGAAGGUGGUUAAUAGUAAUAUUGCAUUUGCUGCUUUUUUUUUUAUCAAAGAUUUAGUUUACAGGGUGUUUCUAAUCCAUUUCUUGGUGCUGGGAGGGGGGGGGGGGGGGGGGGGGGGGAGGGGCGUGUUUGUACCGGGUAUCUUGGAUUCUUGGUAUAGAGACUUUGCUAGCACCUCCUUUUCAAUUGUACUUCCCAUCUUUGUGAGUUCACUGAAUAAAAUUUGAAUCUAGCUAUAAAACAAGUGAUGCAUCCAUACGGGGCUCACAAAAGAGCAUAGUUAAAUUGGUUCAAACUAGAGCUACGCUAUACCUCUACACUGAAGGGUUAACAAGGUUUGCAUUUUUAAUAUCUUUAGUCUUUGUUCUGCUGGUAUGUUUAUGGUGAUGCCCUUUUCUUAUAUGAGGAAUUAUUUGGUAGAUUUAUCUUUUCUGGAUAUGGGUGUAAGGAUCAAGCAGGGUUCAUUGCUAGGAUAGAACUUGAUUUAGGUUCUUGGAGCUCAAAAGAAAUAACAGCAUAUCAUGCCUUAAUCUUACUAUU